UGGGGAAUCUUCCACAAUGGACGCAAGUCUGAUGGAGCAACGCCGCGUGAGUGAAGAAGGUCUUCGGAUCAUAAAGCUCUGUUGUUGGUGAAGAAGGAUAGAGGCAGUAACUGGUCUUUAUUUGACGGUAAUCAACCAGAAAGUCACGGCUAACUACGUGCCAGCAGCCGCGGUAAUACGUAGGUGGCAAGCGUUGUCCGGAUUUAUUGGGCGUAAAGCGAGCGCAGGCGGAAUGAUAAGUCUGAUGUGAAAGCCCACGGCUCAACCGUGGAACUGCAUCGGAAACUGUCAUUCUUGAGUGCAGAAGAGGAGAGUGGAACUCCAUGUGUAGCGGUGGAAUGCGUAGAUAUAUGGAAGAACACCAGUGGCGAAGGCGGCUCUCUGGUCUGCAACUGACGCUGAGGCUCGAAAGCAUGGGUAGCGAACAGGAUUAGAUACCCUGGUAGUCCAUGCCGUAAACGAUGAGCGCUAGGUGUUGGGGACUUUCCGGUUCUCAGUGCCGCAGCAAACGCAUUAAGCGCUCCGCCUGGGGAGUACGACCGCAAGGUUGAAAC
This 554-nucleotide ribosomal RNA is filed under the name uncultured bacterium. RNAcentral's name for it is "partial 16S ribosomal RNA". It matches the Rfam family "Bacterial small subunit ribosomal RNA", at positions 355 to 900 of the family's 1533-position model. The record is from RNAcentral.